GAGUUUGAUCUUGGCUCAGAUUGAACGCUGGCGGCAGGCCUAACACAUGCAAGUCGAGCGGUAGAGAGAAGCUUGCUUCUCUUGAGAGCGGCGGACGGGUGAGUAAUGCCUAGGAAUCUGCCUGGUAGUGGGGGAUAACGCUCGGAAACGGACGCUAAUACCGCAUACGUCCUACGGGAGAAAGCAGGGGACCUUCGGGCCUUGCGCUAUCAGAUGAGCCUAGGUCGGAUUAGCUAGUUGGUGAGGUAAUGGCUCACCAAGGCGACGAUCCGUAACUGGUCUGAGAGGAUGAUCAGUCACACUGGAACUGAGACACGGUCCAGACUCCUACGGGAGGCAGCAGUGGGGAAUAUUGGACAAUGGGCGAAAGCCUGAUCCAGCCAUGCCGCGUGUGUGAAGAAGGUCUUCGGAUUGUAAAGCACUUUAAGUUGGGAGGAAGGGCAGUAAAUUAUACUUUGCUGUUUGACGUUACCGACAGAAUAAGCACCGGCUAACUCUGUGCCAGCCGCCG
This 511-nucleotide ribosomal RNA is filed under the name uncultured bacterium. RNAcentral describes it as "bacterial SSU rRNA". It matches the Rfam family "Bacterial small subunit ribosomal RNA", at positions 9 to 517 of the family's 1533-position model. The record is from RNAcentral.